This 163-nucleotide long non-coding RNA is filed under the name Coturnix japonica (Japanese quail). Its description in RNAcentral is "lncRNA (ENSCJPG00005008041.1)". Lineage: Eukaryota; Metazoa; Chordata; Aves; Galliformes; Phasianidae. The record is from RNAcentral.
CUUCAUUAAUGGUUGCUUCUGUCACUUUCAAGCAAGUUCUAUAAAAAUUUUACAUACAUAAUUGACCAAAUCCUUUUCUUGUUUCCUCUCAGGCAGCAUCACUGAAGUCAAGUGAGAAUAGAACACUGCUGAAGUCUGAGUGGGGCUGCUUAUGCAGGAUCUG